GUGAAAUGCGGGUGCUAUACAUGCAAGUCGAGCGGACAGAUGGGAGCUUGCUCCCUGAUGUUAGCGGCGGACGGGUGAGUAACACGUGGGUAACCUGCCUGUAAGACUGGGAUAACUCCGGGAAACCGGGGCUAAUACCGGAUGGUUGUCUGAACCGCAUGGUUCAGACAUAAAAGGUGGCUUCGGCUACCACUUACAGAUGGACCCGCGGCGCAUUAGCUAGUUGGUGAGGUAACGGCUCACCAAGGCGACGAUGCGUAGCCGACCUGAGAGGGUGAUCGGCCACACUGGGACUGAGACACGGCCCAGACUCCUACGGGAGGCAGCAGUAGGGAAUCUUCCGCAAUGGACGAAAGUCUGACGGAGCAACGCCGCGUGAGUGAUGAAGGUUUUCGGAUCGUAAAGCUCUGUUGUUAGGGAAGAACAAGUGCCGUUCAAAUAGGGCGGCACCUUGACGGUACCUAACCAGAAAGCCACGGCUAACUACGUGCCAGCAGCCGCGGUAAUACGUAGGUGGCAAGCGUUGUCCGGAAUUAUUGGGCGUAAAGGGCUCGCAGGCGGUUUCUUAAGUCUGAUGUGAAAGCCCCCGGCUCAACCGGGGAGGGUCAUUGGAAACUGGGGAACUUGAGUGCAGAAGAGGAGAGUGGAAUUCCACGUGUAGCGGUGAAAUGCGUAGAGAUGUGGAGGAACACCAGUGGCGAAGGCGACUCUCUGGUCUGUAACUGACGCUGAGGAGCGAAAGCGUGGGGAGCGAACAGGAUUAGAUACCCUGGUAGUCCACGCCGUAAACGAUGAGUGCUAAGUGUUAGGGGGUUUCCGCCCCUUAGUGCUGCAGCUAACGCAUUAAGCACUCCGCCUGGGGAGUACGGUCGCAAGACUGAAACUCAAGGAAUUGACAGGGGCCCGCACAAGCGGUGGAGCAUGUGGUUUAAUUCGAAGCAACGCGAGAACCUUACCAGGUCUUGACAUCCUCUGACAAUCCUAGAGAUAGGACGUCCCCUUCGGGGCAGAGUGACAGGUGGUGCAUGGUUGUCGUCAGCUCGUGUCGUGGAGAUGUUGGUUAAGUCCCGCAACGAGCGCAACCCUUGGACCCUA
Molecule: ribosomal RNA, 1095 nt
Filed under: Bacillus amyloliquefaciens
Lineage: Bacteria; Bacillati; Bacillota; Bacilli; Caryophanales; Bacillaceae
Description: bacterial SSU rRNA
Rfam family: Bacterial small subunit ribosomal RNA
Source: RNAcentral